RNAcentral lists this ribosomal RNA (468 nucleotides) under uncultured bacterium. Its description in RNAcentral is "partial 16S ribosomal RNA". It matches the Rfam family "Bacterial small subunit ribosomal RNA", at positions 28 to 507 of the family's 1533-position model. The record is from RNAcentral.
GACGAACGCUGGCGGCGUGCUUAACACAUGCAAGUCGAACGGAAAGGCCCUGCUUUUGUGGGGUGCUCGAGUGGCGAACGGGUGAGUAACACGUGAGUAACCUGCCCUUGACUUUGGGAUAACUUCAGGAAACUGGGGCUAAUACCGGAUAGGAGCUCCUGCUGCAUGGUGGGGGUUGGAAAGUUUCGGCGGUUGGGGAUGGACUCGCGGCUUAUCAGCUUGUUGGUGGGGUAGUGGCUUACCAAGGCUUUGACGGGUAGCCGGCCUGAGAGGGUGACCGGCGACAUUGGGACUGAGAUACGGACCAGACUCCUACGGGAGGCAGCAGUGGGGAAUAUUGCACAAUGGGCGGAAGCCUGAGGCAGAAACGCCGCGUGCGGGAUGACGGCCUUCGGGUUGUAAACCGCUUUCGCCUGAGACGAAGCGUGAGUGACGGUAAUGGGUAAAGAAGCACCGGCUAACUACGUG